GCAAGUCGAGCGCUACCUUCGGGUGGAGCGGCGGACGGGUUAGUAACGCGUGGGAACGUACCCUUCGGUAAGGAAUAGCCACUGGAAACGGAGAGUAAUACCUUAUACGCCCUUUGGGGGAAAGAUUUAUCGGAGAAGGAUUAGCCCGCGUUAGAUUAGAUAGUUGGUGGGGUAAUGGCCUACCAAGUCUACGAUCUAUAGCUGGUUUGAGAGGAUGAUC
This 220-nucleotide ribosomal RNA is filed under the name uncultured bacterium. Its description in RNAcentral is "partial 16S ribosomal RNA". It matches the Rfam family "Bacterial small subunit ribosomal RNA", at positions 57 to 305 of the family's 1533-position model. The record is from RNAcentral.